AACCUGGAGAAAGGAAGAGUCACAGAUCAUCCCCAUACUACAGGAGACACAGAAAUGGCAGACAGUACUUGGAUCAGUGUAAAUAAAUAACAGCGGUACCUUGGUCUCAAGAGUUGUAGCCUGCCAAAUAACCAGAAGUCCAAAGUGCUGGGGAGAAAUGAUCUCUAAGGAGUAUAACUCACAUCAAAGAUCUCAAAUCCAGCAAUGUCCAAGACCCCGAUGAAGUACUGCCUGGACUGCUUGGUGUCCAGCUGCUGGUUGAUGCG
This is a long non-coding RNA of Galeopterus variegatus (Sunda flying lemur), 266 nucleotides long. RefSeq lists it as uncharacterized. The transcript is spliced from 3 exons. NCBI's taxonomy places the organism in Eukaryota, Metazoa, Chordata, Mammalia, Dermoptera, Cynocephalidae. The record is from RefSeq and is a predicted model, not a curated record.